Molecule: ribosomal RNA, 118 nt
Filed under: Gouania willdenowi (blunt-snouted clingfish)
Lineage: Eukaryota; Metazoa; Chordata; Actinopteri; Blenniiformes; Gobiesocidae
Source: RNAcentral
UAUUGUGGCCAUACCAACCUGUCAUUGCCCGAUCUCGUUAAAUCUCGGAAGCUAAACAGGUCUGGGCCUGGUUAGUAGUUGAAUGGGAGACCACGGAGAAUUCCAGGUGCCACAGUGG